This is a long non-coding RNA of Selaginella moellendorffii, 291 nucleotides long. RefSeq lists it as uncharacterized. The transcript is spliced from 2 exons. NCBI's taxonomy places the organism in Eukaryota, Viridiplantae, Streptophyta, Lycopodiopsida, Selaginellales, Selaginellaceae. The record is from RefSeq and is a predicted model, not a curated record.
GAUUGGAAUCGUGACGAGCAAGAGGAAGAACGAAAGAGUGAUUUUUUGGAGUUGCAUUGGGACGACGAGGAUGGAGUAGUCGGGGACAAGUUAAGAUCAAGAGACGAUGCUUCAUCCAUCGCUGCGAGAAGACGAAGUAGUAGUAGAGUUCUUGCGAAAAUAGGAUCUAGUCGAGUAUAAUUGGAGUGAUCAAAGAGUGACGAAAGAUUCUUUGGUUCUUUGUUUAAUCUUUGCAUCGGACUUUGCCAACACCAAUGAAGAGGAAGUUCUAACUUCCAAACUAGCCUUUAA